Dipodomys ordii (Ord's kangaroo rat) is the source of this 134-nucleotide long non-coding RNA. RefSeq lists it as uncharacterized. The transcript has 3 exons. NCBI's taxonomy places the organism in Eukaryota, Metazoa, Chordata, Mammalia, Rodentia, Heteromyidae. The record is from RefSeq and is a predicted model, not a curated record.
AAAAAAAAGGGGGGGGGGGACGAAUCUGUAGAGCACAUGGACAGCAAAGAUGGCCCUGGAAGGGGUUGAGUGGGCAGAGCCCAAUGGAUCUUCUGAUCAGUGCCUAACAAGCUGGUGAAAGCUCAGAGGCUCAG